GUUUCUGAGUGAUGAUCUUUAUUUACUGUCUUGAUUCUGGUGUUUUUAAAUACUGGCACAUUGAAAUCCAUUGAAAUCUGCAAGUGUGUGAACAAUUUCAACAGAAAAGAGGAAACCAUGAAAAUGAACAAAAUCUGGCUACCAGUAUUAAAAAACACCAGAAUCAAGACCGUAAAUAAAGAACAACAAACAGCAAUCAAUCAAGUGCCAGUUAAGACUGCAUAUAGUUGACUAAGUUUCUGUGGGAUCGCCACUUGUGUGUAUGUGUAUUAAGGAAAAACACCUGGUCAAUCACAAUUCAUAGUUGGGUAAUUAGAACAAUCAAGGAUAACAAGCUUGAACCAUUCCCUGAAUGGGGUAUAACUUGGGAAAUGUUUGUAAUGCUUUUUGGGACCUACUGAAUCACUUGCUUCAGAACUUACUUGGAGUAAGUUCCUGGCUGAGAACCUAUUAUGCUUGUCUCCUUGUGCCAUUGAAAGAGAAAUCUCCAAAUAAGAUGCCUGAAUUUAAUGCAAAGAACUUUAUGUGAGUUUGUUGCUCCAGAUGGACUGAGUUAUUUUGAAGCUGGAGGUUUUGUGUUUUUGAAGCUGCUUGUUUAAUUUUGUCCUUGACUCUGUUACUUAAGAGUAAACUUUGAUUUUUUCCAUUUUCUUGGCUUGUAUUUGCUCAUUGUGGAUGCACAAAAAGGCUGGAUAAGUCUGGACAGGACUGCACGCAGUUUGUCUUUCCACAAACCCGUAACAUAGUUCACCUACAUCUUUAUGUAUUUUCUAAUAGGAGCAAUCAUAAAAACAAAAGCAAACAAUGACUAUGUCUUAAUAACGACAGUACAAGAGAUCUAACCCAGGCAUCACUGUGUCAAUAUAAAUGAACAUAAAGCACUUAUCCUUUACGUACUCCACUCCUUCCUCAUCUUGCUUGCUUAUGCAAUCACAUCUAAAAUAUAAACUAAAGGGUGUGGCUGUUUUUAAGGUUCGUUUCUGGAACGUUGCACUGGGCUGUUUAUAGGAAGAGGACAAAUACGGCAAUCCUCUCCAAAGCACCUGUUACAAUAGACUGAAAACCCAGAGUCCUUUGGCAGUAUUAAGAGUGUCACUGGAUCGGCUGUUCCUCCCACAUUCUAGCACUUUUUGGAUGGUACCUUGUAAAACUACCAGUCGUAUUGUCUUUAUUAUUCUGACGAUUGGGACUCAAGAAAAAAAGAACCACGAAAAAGCUGAAUAUGGAUUAUUGGAGAGCAGUUUUUGAAGGGCUGAUCAGGAGAGUGAAACCAAAUGAUGACUGGAGACUGACAAUGGAUCAGGCGCUUGAUUUCCACCAGUUACCGUAUGGAUGGAAGUGCUCGGUGCAGAAACAUGUCAAUGCAAGGAUGGCUCCCACUUCCAGAGAGCACUGUGACUUCCGCCAACAACAGAUCUGGACCAAACAUGGCACGCAGACCCCCUAUGACCCACUUUAAGUACUUGUGGGGUUUGGAGGGGAUUGACUUUGAAUGUUGGAAGUUCUAGUUCAUCCACAUCCAGAGGACAUUCUGAACCCAACUGAUGAUGGAUCUGGACCAAACUUGGCACCCAUACAAACAUGGCCAACAUUGAAUACUGGUAGGGUUUGGGAAGAAUUGAUCCAUGAUUUUGGGACAUGUAGUUUAUUGCUGCAUAUGCAUGUAGUUGACUAAGUUUCUGUGGGAUCGCCACUUGUGUGUAUGUGUAUUAAGGAAAAACACCUGGUCAAUCACAAUUCAUAGUUGGGUAAUUAGAACAAUCAAGGAUAACAAGCUUGAACCACUCCCUGAAUGGGGUAUAACUUGGGAAAUGUUUGUAAUGCUUUUUGGGACCUACUGAAUCACUUGCUUCAGAACUUACUUGGAGUAAGUUCCUGGCUGAGAACCUAUUAUGCUUGUCUCCUUGUGCCAUUGAAAGAGAAAUCUCCAAAUAAGAUGCCUGAAUUUAAUGCAAAGAACUUUAUGUGAGUUUGUUGCUCCAGAUGGACUGAGUUAUUUUGAAGCUGGAGGUUUUGUGUUUUUGAAGCUGCUUGUUUAAUUUUGUCCUUGACUCUGUUACUUAAGAGUAAACUUUGAUUUUUUCCAUUUUCUUGGCUUGUAUUUGCUCAUUGUGGAUGCACAAAAAGGCUGGAUAAGUCUGGACAGGACUGCACGCAGUUUGUCUUUCCACAAACCCGUAACAUAGUUCACCUACAUCUUUAUGUAUUUUCUAAUAGGAGCAAUCAUAAAAACAAAAGCAAACAAUGACUAUGUCUUAAUAACGACAGUACAAGAGAUCUAACCCAGGCAUCACUGUGUCAAUAUAAAUGAACAUAAAGCACUUAUCCUUUACGUACUCCACUCCUUCCUCAUCUUGCUUGCUUAUGCAAUCACAUCUAAAAUAUAAACUAAAGGGUGUGGCUGUUUUUAAGUUUCGUUUCUGGAACGUUGCACUGGGCUGUUUAUAGGAAGAGGACAAAGUACGGCAAUCCUCUCCAAAGCAGCUGUUACAAUAGACUGAAACAUCAGAGUCCUUUGGCACUAUUAAAAGUGUCACUGAAUCAGCUGUUCCUCCCACAUUCUAGCACUUUUGGAGAGUACCUUUUUGAAAAGAUUGGAUCUCAAAAAACAAAACAAAACAAAAGAACAACAAAAGAGCUGAAUAUGGAUUAUUGGAGAGCAGCUUUUGAAGCACUAAUCAGGGCAGUGAAACCAAAUGAUGCCUGGAGACUGACAAUGGAUCAGACACUUGAUUUCUACAAGUUACCACAUGGAUGGAAGCGCUCAGUGCAGAAACAUGCCCAUGCAAGUUUCACAUGUUCACAAUGCUUCCGUCACUGGACAUCUCACCAAGUUGUCAUCUUAUUCCACUUGUUUUGGGAUCCAUACAUGAGGCAAGGAUCUGCUCGGAUGAGGUUCUUCCGACAACAGUGCCUUGUGUGCCAUUCCAAGUAUGAAGAGCCAGAAUUUACUGAGGAGGCCGUGAUGAAAGUGUUGAACCACUUGAUCAUCAGCAUACGAAAAAAUUGCUACGGAGAGCCCUUUGACGACACAGAAUUAGUCGAGGUGGUCUACAGCACUGGUCCUCACAUGCGUGAAUAUUGUGAGGCUUACCAACUGGGGAUACACAAAGGGCGUUACUCCUCGCUUAGAAGUGGAGGGCAUGAUACAAUAGAUCCCAGCUGGGUGCAGGAUGCAACAGAUCCUAGCUGGGUGCAUGAAAGCACUGGGCUUCUACAGACCACUGAACAGACAGGAACCCCAGCACCAUCAUCCAGAAGACCAAAUGAAUCCAGUUACCUCCGUAUUUGCCUUUUUAUUUGCUUCAUUUGUGUUAUCCUACUGUUUCUGAUUCUUUUCUUGGUUUAUUGGAAUCAUUGAUUCUUGGGAAUACUAAACAAGUGAUAAAUUAAAAUGCCCAGUUGACUAUGGCACUGCUUCUUAAACUGUGGGUCCCAGCCCCAAGUGGGGCCCUUUCAUUCAAUCUUGGUGUCCUGAAAAAUUUGGCAAUGGUAAGAGGUGUCUGAAUGCCACUUAGUGGCCCUUUUAGACAUUUACAUGAAUCUGUUGGGCAGGGUUUAAUUCAGAUGUACUAUAUAUACUCGAGUAUAAGCUGACCCGAGUAUAAGCCAAGGCACCUAAUUUUACCACAAAAAACUGGGAUAACUUAUUAACUCGAGUAUAAGCCAAGGGUGGGAAGUGAAGCAGCUACUGGUAAAUUUCAAAAUAAAAAUAGAUACCAAUAAAAUUACAUUAAUCGAGGCAUCAAUAGGUUAAAUAAUGUAUAUGUAUGGAUACAGAUAUACAGGUACAUGGAUCUAUUUGUAUAUAGGAUUUGCAAGGACCUGCAAACAUAUGAGGGGAAAAUUCAUAUAUAAAAUUAAUGUAUAUAGAUAGAUAGAUACCGAUAUAUAAGUACACAGGGAUUGCAAAUGCAUGCAGGGAGUUAAUGCCUAUAUAUCUGUAGGAGAGAUUAACAAAUAUUUUAGGGGAAAAUGCUUUUAUAAGAUUAAUGGAUAUAUAUUUUUCUUCUUCCUGACUUGCAAGGGCGUCUUUCCUUUUUCAAAAUAUUCCCUUGGUUAAGAGCGAGAGAGGCUUUGGAAAACACACUGAUAAGGGAGGGUAAGAGAGGAAUAUAUCAUCUAUUGUAAGCAAUGGCCUCCAGGUUCUGUUGCCCGACCUUGACCCCAUUAUAUGCCGAGGGAGGCUUUUUCAGCUAAAAAAAAAGGCUGAAAAACUCAGCUUAUCUUAAAGUAUAUACGGACUUUUUUCAUAAAAAGAAAAAUCAGCCUGUUCAGUAAAACUCUGAUUUUUAUGCCUAUUUUAUAUACCUGAGGUCACAUAAAAUUUUCUUGAUCCAAGAAAGUUUCAGAGUGGAGAAAUUUAAGAAGCCCUAGACUAUAGGAUUGUUAAUGAUAAACCUAAAAUAUGUGCGGUAGACCGCAUUCGGUCAUCAAAAACCUGAACUUAUGUUUUUGCUGUCUUUUCUUAAUAAAAUAUUCCUCUCAACUCAUGACUGAAAUGUCUUGGCUUUUCCUUUCUUGAUGUAGAGAGGAAACUCUAGUUGAAGACUUUCAGGCUAGCAUCCUUGUUCUGUUUGAAUUUGCAUGUUUAUUGAGGGAAUUCAUGGCAGGUCUGGCAUUUUAGGACUUGCCCUAAAACUUCUCCAUCCAAGAAGGAGAAGAGACAGAGGUAGAUUUAGGUUUCAAUCUUUAAUAUCUGCAAAAUAGUAGAGACAGUUUUAGCUCAUACUGAAAAGGAACUGCCCACCCCUUCGUGGGUUGUAUUUCUAGUUAUAAUAUUUUACAAGCAUGCGCAGAAGGCUAGUCUUGGCCCAGAUCCGUGUUUUAGUCUUCUGUUUUUAAUAUUUUAUGCUGUAUGUUGUUUUUUAUGAUGGUUUUAUUGAUGUUGAUGUUUUAUUGUUGAAAUCACUGUUUUAUUGUUGUAUAUGUUGGGCUUUGUCCCCAUGUAAGCUGCUCCGAGUCCCUCCGGGGAGAUGGGGCGGGGUAUAAAAAUAAAGUUAUUAUUAUUAUUAUUAUUAUUAUUAUUAUUAUAACUUUAUUUUUAUACCCCGCCCCAUUAUUAUUAUUAUUAUUAUUAUUUAAUAAUGGAAAAUUACUAUCAUGCAAUCCUUAAACAUGCACAGUUGUCUCCAGCUCAUAUAAAUCAUUAAUAAUUAAAUCAGGUAAAGAGUCCACAUCAUGUACACAGUUGUCCUCAACUUAUUUUAAUCAUUACCUAUGACAUCAGGUGGACCAUCCAUUCUCCACAUAAUGUAAAUACUAGCCAACUUACAUUAAUCAUUAGAUCAGGAAAACAUCAUAUGAAUAACAGGUAAGCCAAAUGUCAUCACUGUUUACAUUAGCUGCUCACAGUUAUUUGUAUAAUCUAACCUUCCUUUCUGUCUUAGUUAAUUAUCAAGGCAUAUGUCAAAUCAUGCGUUCUAUAAACAAUCUUGGGGAAAAACAAGAUUUUGAGUAAGGUGUCAUCUAGGCAAGUGAUUAAUUUUUUUCCUACAAAACACAGCGCCUCACACUGUUUUGUUCAUAACUUGGGGACUGCCUGCUUCCUAAUGUUCAAUCUGCUCCUACUUUAUCCAAAAAUGUAAAAUAUUGCUUGGACACAAGCCAGACAUACAGUCAUGGCUGGGCAAACACAUUUGACUCAACAUCAUUAAAAAAAAUUAAAGAUUGAAUGUUUUUUUCCUUUUGGUUUCUUAGUUUCAAUUACAAAAGUUGCUCCAGUUUUCUCUUCUAUACAGAGGUAACAAUUAGUUUGUCUACACCAUAUUGGGCAGAGGUCACUUGAGGUCAUCUACACUGUUGGAAGUGAAGAAGCAUCCACACGUCUAUGCUCUGUGGUACAGGCCUCCUCCCGUCUGGUUUCUCAUCUAUGUAACUCAGUGUGUUCCUGCCUUCAGGGAAAGGUCUUUCGUGCUUGAUUCCUUUUUGUUCGAGAAGGGAGCAUCUUGAGUUCAUCUCUGCCUCAGGAUGCCUUACAUGCAAACAUGAGAAUCAGCAUUAGGGAAUCUUUAUUGAAGUCGGUCAAUUUUCUUUCAUGUAUCUACUUGUUUAAUCCAAGAUGUGUUCCCUGCAACAAUAAAAGUACUUUUUCACCCUGUUUAACCUUUUUAGAGGUUCCUGCACAUUUUCUCUCCUGCCCAUAUAUAACACUGUGUUAUGGUUGAGCCUCAUGGCUCUACUACUGGGAGACGUGGGCGUAAGACUCCUCGAGAGUCAGAUACUCUCGAGGAGCGAGAAAGGAAGCGGCUGCGAGAUAUCUUUGCAGAACCAUCUGACGAGGAUUCUUUUGAGGGGUUUACUGAGAGAAUGGAGGAAGAGAUGGUUAGCUCGGAAGAGGAUGACAUGGAAUGGACUCGUGUAAGGGAGGAUUUGGGUGCCACUGGCAAUGAUAGUAUGGAAGGCGAUUGGGGACCUUCAGGAUUAGACCCGUGGACAAGCUGGAGGGAUGGGAUGGGAUCCACAGCUGGGGAUGCUGUGGGGCGUAGUCAAAGGUGUUCCAGUUCUGAUGAGGAAAGUGAUGAGGAAACGCCCGGACUGAGGAGAACAGCUGAUAGCGAUGAGGACUUGUAACUGGCAUAAAAUGGGGUUUGGGAGCAAUAGCAAAUUGCGUUGGGCAAGGUAAUCUGGACGAACGCUUGGGAUCUGUGUGGGAAGUUUUCCUGAAGACGGGUGUGAUUCGUUUGCUGACUACGUAAGUUAUCCUGGACAUUGGGCUCAGACGGCGGGAGGAAUUGUGUGGGCUUUUGUUGUGCAACCUCUGCUUAAUCUUAAUAGCUUUGACCUUCCGUCGUCUUCUUGACGGACGCCAUCUGCUUACUCUGGACUUACGGACUGACUGACUACGGCCUCGGAUUCUCCUACCUGUGUCUAUCGUUGGAACUGGUGAACUACAAACGUCUGCAUCUGCCUUACGACCUUCGGAACGGAUUGGGACUUCGCUGACUGCUUCUGCCCUCGUCUGCUGUGUUUGUAUUGGGAAAUUGCCUGCUGUGUGGAGGAGUAACCUCUAAGUUACUCAAACAUAGCUCUUGGCAGCAGAGAAGCAUCUGCUGCCAAUUAUUUGCAUUCCUUUGAACUUUUUGUUCACCAGCUUCUGUUUGUUUAUUCCCAGGCUGAAGCAAGCUGUUUUGAUUUAACCCGGAUUAAACUCCGGUUUAAUCCGGUUUAUCUUUUGAACGUUUUUCUUGUCUCUUUUUACUUUUAAGGCCAGUGUUUGCCUAGCCCUUGUCUUUUACGGGCAUUUUUGGUUCUGUAACUCCAAUAAACUUUGUUAUCUUUUAU
RNA transcript from Anolis carolinensis (green anole), 7284 nucleotides. It is a transcript of the gene named receptor-transporting protein 2, with no coding region annotated. The transcript is spliced from 3 exons. NCBI's taxonomy places the organism in Eukaryota, Metazoa, Chordata, Lepidosauria, Squamata, Anolidae. The record is from RefSeq and is a predicted model, not a curated record.